AUGCCGUCCGUGAUGUCUUCCCCAGCGCCGGCCCUUGUGCUCCUUCUCCUCGCGGCAAGCAUGGCAGAUUCCCAGGCGGGGCUAAACUGCAGCAACUCCUCCGCGUCUCCCUCCUCAGCACCAUCACCACCAACGUCCAACACAACCAACAGCAGCGCGUACCGCAACAACGUCUUGAAGCUACUGGACGCCCUCCCCGAGGCCGUGCCGCCCACAGGCUUCACCUCCCACUCCUUGGGCGCUAGUCCCGACCGUGCCUUCGUCCGCGGCCUCUGCCACGUCGACUCCACACGGUCCGAGUGCCGCAAGAACCUGCAAGAAGCCGUUAACGACAUCGGCCGUUACUGCGCCUCCAGUCGGAGCGGGGCAGCGUUGUACGACAAGUGCUGCAUCACCUACGCCGAUACCAACGCCUCGAUCGGCUACGAGGAUGUCUUCUCGGAGGUGUGGUAUGAGGGCGACAAAGUGUCCGGCUCCGACCUGCUGGAUAGCUACGAGCGGACCUACCACUCGCUGAUGGAUGGCCUGGUGGCGCGGGUGGCCAGUGGCUCGGCGAUGUUCGCCACAGGGGAAGCUGUCUACGCACCCAGCGAUCCGAAUGGGAGGACGUACGGUCUCGUGGAGUGCAUGAGGGACCUCAGCGCCGCGGAGUGCCGCCGGUGCCUGCAGUUGUUGGUACCAAAGCUACCGCUCUGCUGCGGAGGGACUGCGCAAAACUUCAACUGCCGACUUCAGGUUCAAGUAUAUGCCUUCUACGACCUGGCGCUCGACGCUCCGCCCCCGGCUGCUUCACCUGCACAGCAGCGGCCGAUCUCCUCGCUCGGAAAGAGGAGAUUACAACAUGUCAUCCUUGUUGUUGGGACACUAUUCGUCAUAGUCGUCGUGCUUGCUUGUGUUCGCAGACAGAGGAAAAGGAUCAAGGCGAAUAAGGAACAACAAGAUAACGCAGGAGAGGGCAUGAACUAUAUUAGUCUGGAAGUGUUAAGAGCUGCAACAUCCAAUUUUUCUAUAAACAAUAAACUAGGAGAGGGAGGAUUCGGAGAGGUUUUUAAGGGUGAAUUGCAGAAUGGAAUGAAAAUAGCCGUGAAAAGGCUGUCGAAUAACUCAGCUCAAGGGUUUGAUGAGCUAAAAAAUGAGCUAGUGUUAGCUAACAGACUUAAGCACAAGAAUCUGGUGCCGCUUCUUGGUGUUUGCUUGCAAGAGAAACUGGUAGUGUAUGAAUAUAUGCCUAAUGGAAGCCUACACACGAGCCUUUUCAAUUCGGAGAAGGCACAUCAAUUGGACUGGAUGAAAAGAAAGACAAUCAUCUCUGGAAUUGCUCGAGGUCUAUUGUAUCUCCAUGAGGAGUCUCGUCUAAAAGUCAUACACCGUGAUCUGAAGCCAAGCAACGUCUUACUGGACCUGGAAAUGAACGCUAAAAUUUCAGACUUUGGUUUGUCUAGAGCUUUCGGUGAAGAUCAAUCGAUCGAUAUAACAAAACGCCCUGUUGGUACACUUGGAUACAUGUCUCCGGAGUAUGCAUAUCGCGGUCAAGUCUCUACAGAGUCAGACAUGUACAGCUUCGGUGUCAUGGUUAUAGAGAUUGUGACUGGUCGGAGGAACUAUAGAUCACUUGACGAUGAUACUGCCUCCAGAUAUCUGCCCAGCUACGUAUGGGAAAAGUGGAGAGCUGGCUCGAUGGAAGAGGUGGUAGACCCUUCCCUAGGCGGGCGUUACCCAAAGAGCGAGUUGCUAAACUGCGUGCAAAUCGGGUUGCUAUGCCUUCAAGUCAAUCCCAGCUCCAGACCGGACGCGUCAGAGGUGGUCCUCAUGCUCGACGGCCACUCCACGUCCAUGACUAUGCGGACUCCCUCCAGGCCAGCGUUCUGCUUCCCACGACCUGGCGUUGUUAACCCGGCGCUCGGUUAUGCCACGACCAGCGGCCAGCUGCCUACCACCGUUUCAGACAACGGCAUGACAAUUUCCGAUCUCCAGCCUAGGUAG
This 1983-nucleotide ribosomal RNA is filed under the name Triticum aestivum (bread wheat). Its description in RNAcentral is "partial small subunit ribosomal RNA". Lineage: Eukaryota; Viridiplantae; Streptophyta; Magnoliopsida; Poales; Poaceae. The record is from RNAcentral.